GGGUGCUAUACUGCAGUCGAGCGAACAGAUAAGGAGCUUGCUCCUUUGACGUUAGCGGCGGACGGGUGAGUAACACGUGGGUAACCUACCUAUAAGACUGGGAUAACUUCGGGAAACCGGAGCUAAUACCGGAUAACAUUUGGAACCGCAUGGUUCUAAAGUGAAAGAUGGUUUUGCUAUCACUUAUAGAUGGACCCGCGCCGUAUUAGCUAGUUGGUAAGGUAACGGCUUACCAAGGCGACGAUACGUAGCCGACCUGAGAGGGUGAUCGGCCACACUGGAACUGAGACACGGUCCAGACUCCUACGGGAGGCAGCAGUAGGGAAUCUUCCGCAAUGGGCGAAAGCCUGACGGAGCAACGCCGCGUGAGUGAUGAAGGGUUUCGGCUCGUAAAACUCUGUUAUUAGGGAAGAACAAACGUGUAAGUAACUGUGCACGUCUUGACGGUACCUAAUCAGAAAGCCACGGCUAACUACGUGCCAGCAGCCGCGGUAAUACGUAGGUGGCAAGCGUUAUCCGGAAUUAUUGGGCGUAAAGCGCGCGUAGGCGGUUUCUUAAGUCUGAUGUGAAAGCCCACGGCUCAACCGUGGAGGGUCAUUGGAAACUGGGAAACUUGAGUGCAGAAGAGGAAAGUGGAAUUCCAUGUGUAGCGGUGAAAUGCGCAGAGAUAUGGAGGAACACCAGUGGCGAAGGCGACUUUCUGGUCUGUAACUGACGCUGAUGUGCGAAAGCGUGGGGAUCAAACAGGAUUAGAUACCCUGGUAGUCCACGCCGUAAACGAUGAGUGCUAAGUGUUAGGGGGUUUCCGCCCCUUAGUGCUGCAGCUAACGCAUUAAGCACUCCGCCUGGGGAGUACGACCGCAAGGUUGAAACUCAAAGGAAUUGACGGGGACCCGCACAAGCGGUGGAGCAUGUGGUUUAAUUCGAAGCAACGCGAAGAACCUUACCAAAUCUUGACAUCCUUUGAAAACUCUAGAGAUAGAGCCUUCCCCUUCGGGGGACAAAGUGACAGGUGGUGCAUGGUUGUCGUCAGCUCGUGUCGUGAGAUGUUGGGUUAAGUCCCGCAACGAGCGCAACCCUUAAGCUUAGUUGCCAUCAUUAAGUUGGGCACUCUAGGUUGACUGCCGGUGACAAACCGGAGGAAGGUGGGGAUGACGUCAAAUCAUCAUGCCCCUUAUGAUUUGGGCUACACACGUGCUACAAUGGACAAUACAAAGGGCAGCUAAACCGCGAGGUCAUGCAAAUCCCAUAAAGUUGUUCUCAGUUCGGAUUGUAGUCUGCAACUCGACUACAUGAAGCUGGAAUCGCUAGUAAUCGUAGAUCAGCAUGCUACGGUGAAUACGUUCCCGGGUCUUGUACACACCGCCCGUCACACCACGAGAGUUUGUAACACCCGAAGCCGGUGGAGUAACCAUUUAUGGAGCUAGCCGUCGAAGUGACAAGUG
RNAcentral lists this ribosomal RNA (1445 nucleotides) under Staphylococcus saprophyticus. RNAcentral's name for it is "bacterial SSU rRNA". It matches the Rfam family "Bacterial small subunit ribosomal RNA". Lineage: Bacteria; Bacillati; Bacillota; Bacilli; Caryophanales; Staphylococcaceae. The record is from RNAcentral.